Molecule: ribosomal RNA, 502 nt
Filed under: uncultured bacterium
Lineage: Bacteria
Description: bacterial SSU rRNA
Rfam family: Bacterial small subunit ribosomal RNA
Source: RNAcentral
AACGAACGCUGGCGGCGUGCCUAACACAUGCAAGUCGAACGAGAAAGCGGGCUUCGGCCCGCAAGUACAGUGGCAGACGGGUGAGUAACACGUGGGUAACCUGCCCGGAGGUGGGGAAUAACCUCCCGAAAGGGAGGCUAAUACCGCAUGAUAUCUCGAAGGUUCGCCUUCGCGAUCAAAGCUUGCCUCUACUUGUAAGCUAGCGCCACCGGAGGGGCCCGCGGCCCAUUAGCUUGUUGGCGGGUAACGGCCCACCAAGGCGACGAUGGGUAGCCGGCCUGAGAGGGUGAACGGCCACACUGGAACUGAAACACGGUCCAGACUCCUACGGGAGGCAGCAGUGAGGAAUCUUGCGCAAUGGGGGAAACCCUGACGCAGCGACGCCGCGUGGAGGACGAAGGCCUUCGGGUCGUAAACUCCUGUCGAGCGGGACGAAUGCCGCGGGGAUGAAUGAGCCCCGCGGUUGACGGUACCGCUGGAGGAAGCCCCGGCUAACUCCGUG